UACGUAGGGCGCAAGCGUUGUCCGGAAUUAUUGGGCGUAAAGAGCUCGUAGGCGGCUUGUUGCGUCAGCUGUGAAAGCCCGCAGCUCAACUGUGGGCUUGCAGCUGAUACGGGCAGGCUUGAGUUCGGUAGGGGAGGCUGGAAUUCCUGGUGUAGCGGUGAAAUGCGCAGAUAUCAGGAGGAACGCCGGUGGCGAAGGCGGGUCUCUGGGCCGAUACUGACGCUGAGGAGCGAAAGCGUGGGGAGCGAACAGG
This 253-nucleotide ribosomal RNA is filed under the name uncultured bacterium. Its description in RNAcentral is "partial 16S ribosomal RNA". It matches the Rfam family "Bacterial small subunit ribosomal RNA", at positions 524 to 776 of the family's 1533-position model. The record is from RNAcentral.